CCUUGGACCCCGCGCGGCGUCUAUCCUGUGAACUCCCCCAGGGCUGGAAGGCAGCAAGGGUCAACGGGCUCUGUCGGGUGCGCGGGGUCCCCUCAGU
This 97-nucleotide signal recognition particle RNA is filed under the name Mycobacterium kubicae. RNAcentral's name for it is "signal recognition particle sRNA small type". It matches the Rfam family "Bacterial small signal recognition particle RNA". From Rfam's summary of the family: The signal recognition particle (SRP) is a universally conserved ribonucleoprotein involved in the co-translational targeting of proteins to membranes. Archaeal SRP consists of a 7S RNA and homologues of the eukaryotic SRP19 and SRP54 proteins. In most bacteria, the SRP consists of a 4.5S RNA and the Ffh protein (a homologue of the eukaryotic SRP54 protein). The record is from RNAcentral. Lineage: Bacteria; Bacillati; Actinomycetota; Actinomycetes; Mycobacteriales; Mycobacteriaceae.